UUUUGUGUGGCAUAUGAUUAGUAAAUUAGCCACAACUCUGGAAUGACAGAGAUGGUCAGUAAUCAAGAUAAGACUUGGAAAGGAACGUUAAAGGAAAUUUUUGAACAAUCUUAACCUUAAGAGGUUGAACCAGUGAAUAAAGAGAUUGGUUAAGACCAUAAGAACGUGUGUCAAAUGUCACUAUUCAUUGGAAUGCUUUAAUGGAAUUUGUAUGGAAAUAUAUAUAGCAGUAAAAAAUGAUUGGUUGUCAAUUUAGCCAUAGUCAAUGGUGGAAUAAAAUGCUUGAAUGUUAGAGAAUUGAUCAAAAUCAAGGUGGAGGAAUUGUGGGUGGUUAUGCAAACAUGCAUGACUAACGAUAUAAGGUUAAUUUGAUUAAGGUGUAACUAGAAGUGAUGAUAUAUUUGAAAUCUCCGUAUAAGAAGAAAAAUAAUAAUGAUCUUAUUUAAGAAAUGUAUUACACAUAAUUGUAUGUAUUAUGACAUUGUGAGUUUUCUAUAAAGAUUGGAAGUCAAUAAAAUGAGUAUAUCAAAAUCUUAUGUUAAGAAUGCCCAACGGAAGUGAUGUGGAAAAAUUUUAGAAUUUUAAUUAUUCACUCUAUGUUGAUUUAAAUUCGAGGAUGAAUUUGUCUUAAGUGGAGGAGAUUGUAGCACCUCGUACCCCCGUUUAGAAGUUAAUAAGACUCUAUUAAUGAGAAGAAGGGUCGUUUGACAUAAAUCUAAGCGUUAGAGAACAGUAACAAGUAAAAAGAAUAUUUUGAAAUAAAGUAUUUUAUGAAUAAAAUAUUAUUAAAAUAUUAAUAUUUUAUUUAUUAGUGAGAUUAGUUAAAAGAGAGGGUUAUAUGAUUAAUCUAUGUGGGGGAGAAGAAGAAAAGAAAAAUUCGGAAGAAAAAUUCGGAAGAAAAAUGAGUUAAAGGGAAUCGCGUGUUUUUAUUAAAUAGAGCACAAGUGGGUACGUAUAUAUUUAAAUAUUUAGGUGACACGAUGAUGGGGUGUAAACUUUAUAUUAUAUUUAUACACAUGUGAAGGAAGGAAAUAGAAGAAAAUUGGAAUUUAAGAAGUGAUGCGAGGACUUAAUAAAAAGGAUGAGAACUUAGGAGGCUUACAAAGAAAGCUUUGACUUUUGUUUUUCUUUUUCUCUCUCUCUAUGGCCGGCCACCCAUAUCAGAGCUUGUGAAAAUUUGGUACAAAGAAAGAAAGGAAAGGUUGGGAGCAAGAAAAAGGGGAAAGAGACAAGAAAUUUUCCCAUUUGUUCACUAAAUAAAGAGCUUUGAAUUUUCUCUUGCCUUUUCUUUCCAUUUCAUUCUACAUAGCCGGCCAAAUGGUAUAACCUUUGUUAUUUUUUUUCUUCUUAUUCUAUUAAGAUACUAGAACCUUCAUCCUUCAUUCUUUAAUAAUUUUUUUUUUGUUUCUUUUCUUUCCACCGUCACUUUUCUUCCUUGUGCAUUUUUUCUUCCAACCGUGGCUUUCCUCCAUAGACAAUCGUGCCUCAAGUCUUUCCUCAACUCUUCUUCCAUGCUUCUUUCUUUUCUCCUUCCCCUCAUGAAUUGUCUUCCCUUUUGCCUCCCCCAUAAUCGAACCUAAGAAGGAUUUCGUGGUUUGGCUUAAAAUUACAAGGCUGGUUGUCACUCCGGUUAAGUGUGAACCUUGUGCAAGUAAGCUCUAGCUAGAGAACCUUUGGGACGUCGACGAGCUGUUAGACAUGGUUGGGGCCAAAGUCUAUGAUUUUAUGUGACUAGGCCACAAGUUGUUAUACGCGGUUGUGAUCACCUAAUUUUCUCCGAUGUUGGUCAACAUCGUUGAGACUGCCAAGGCAUGUGGGGGUCCAUGGAGCGGAGUGCCCAGAUGUUAUUACGUGGAAGCAGAUAAGUAAUUAGUUUUAGUGCUUUGUUCAGCAUCUUGAGGCUAUUUGCAACCUAGGUAAUGGCAUAUCUAGACUUCCACUUAUAGUCGCUCUGCUGCCUAGAGGUCGGUUUGUGUCAAAUAGUCAGGCUUGUAAUGAUUAAUAGUUACUGGAAAUGUACUGGUUAAAACUUAAGGUUAUGUAAUGACUACUACUUAUAGUGUUGAAAUUGUGUGGAAUUAUCAAAUCUGGUUGUUUGUAUUUAGAAGCCACGUUUAAAUGUUGUGAAUAUUUGGUUUAAAUGAACUAUGGUGUUAAAAAUUGUAAGUUGAGUUUAAAUUGUGUGAAGGCUUAACUAAGGCUUGUUCGGGAUUUGGCGGGUUUAUUCGUAAGUCUCGAAUGCCGGUAUCGAUCGAAGGAAGAAGUCGUUAUAAAGAUGAAUCCCACCACUGUAACUCUUCAAUUGACAGAUAAAACUCUCAUAUAUCCAAGAGGCAUAGUGGAAGAUGUGCUUAUGAAAGUGGAUAAAUUCAUAUUCCCAGCUGAUUUUAUAAUUCUUGAUAUGGAGGAAGAUAGAAAGGUUUCUAUUAUCCUUGGGCGACCUUUUUUAUGCAUAGCCAGAGCACUCAUUGAUAUUGGAAAGGGAGAACUUACCUCGUGAGUACCAGAUCAAGAGGUAACAUUUAAUAUCUUUCAUGCUUUAAAGUUUACUAAUGAUCAUGAUGAGUGUUUUGCAGUUAGUGUGGUAGAUAAGGCCACUAGUGAAGCCUUCAUGGAAAAUCAUCCUAAUCACCUAUUUGAAGCAUCAUUGACUUCUAAAUCUAAGACCAGUAAUGAAGAAAUCAUAAAUUGUGUUAAUGCGUUGAAUGGCCCAUCUCUGGUAUUGGGAACUUAGUUUGAAUUGUUAGAUUUGUCUUCAUCUUCAUCCUCUCUAGUGAAACUUUUAGUUGAGGAUCACCCUAAGUUAAAACUCAAACCAUUUCCAAAACAUUUGAGGUAUGCAUAUCUUGGAAACUCAUCUACUCUUCCAAUUACUGUUGCAUCUGAUCUUAAUAAUAAGCAGGAAAAAAAGUUGCUUAGAGUUUUGAGAGAGCACAAAAAAGGCAUUGGGGUGGUCAAUAGCUAAUAUCAAGGGGGUAAGUCCUUCAAUAUGUGUGCAUAAAAUUUUGUUAGAGGAUAAUCACAGAGCCAUUAUUAAGCAUCGGACGAGAUUGAAUCUAAUUAUGAAAUAAGUAGUCAGGAAAGAAGUAAUCAAGUGGAUAAAAGCGGGCAUCGUUUAUCUUAUUUUAGAUUAUGAAUGGGUAAGCUUGGUGUAAUGCGUACCAAAGAAUGGUGGGAUGACAAUGGUAGCUAACGAAAACAAUGAGCUCAUUCCCACAAGGAUAGUCAUUAGAUGGAAAGUAUGCAUGGAUUACAAAAAGUUAAACAAGAUCACAAGGAAAUAUCAUUUUCCUUUACCUUUCAUUGACUAAAUGUUGGAUAGGUUAGCUAGAAGAGAGUAUUACUAUUUUGUGGAUGGAUACUUAGGCUGAAAUCAGAUUGUCAUAGCACCAAAAACGCAAGAGAAAACAACUAUCACAUGUCUUUAUGGUACUUUUGCAUUUAGAAGGAUGCCAUUAGGAAUGUGUAAUCCUUUGGUCAGAUUUCAACGGUGCAUGAUGUUUAUCUUCUCGGAUAUGGUGGAGAAAACCAUAGAGGUAUAUAUGGAUGAUUUCUUAGUCUUUGGCAAUAAUUUUGAUGAAUGUUUUCUCAAUCUUGAUAAGGUAUUGCAAAGAUGUGAGGAGACAAACCUAGCUUUAAAUUGAGAGAAAUGCCACUUUAUGGUACAAGAAGGCAUUGUCCUUGGUCACAAGGUGUCAAGCAAAGGAUUAGAAGUCGACAAAGCUAAGAUUGAGACCAUUGAAAAACUUCCACCACCAACCUUGGUAAAAAGUAUUUGGAGUUUCCUUGGACAUGUCAAUUUUUAUUGGCGAUUCAUUAAGGACUUUUCCAAAAUUGCCAAACCUUUGUGCAAUCGUUUAGAAAAAGACAUCCCAUUUAAAUUUGAUGAUGCAUGUCAUGUUGCAUUUAUAGAACUGAAAAAAAAAGUUGACAAUUACACCCAUUAUUGUAGUUCUUGAUUGGUCACUCCUAUUUGAACUUGUAUGUGAUGCUAGUGACAAUGCUGUUGAUGUAGUGUUCGGACAAAGAAAGAAUAAAAUUUUUCAUUCUAUAUACUAUGCAAAUAAAACCUUAGUUGAAACUUAGAUGCAAUACACUACCACUACGAAAGAUAUAUUAGCUAUUGUGUACGCAUUUGACAAAUUUCGCUCAUAUUUGAUUGCACUAAAGUUAUUGUUUAUACUGACCACUUUGCAAUUAAGUAUUUGAUUGGUAAAAAAAAUGCUAGGCCAAGGUUUAUAAGAUGGGUUCUGCCACUAUAAGAAUUUGAUUUAGAAAUCAGAGAUAGAAGAGAUUUAGAAAAUCAAGUAGCCGACCAUUUGUCAAGGUUGGAGCAUGACAACCAAGGUACAGAUGUGACUUUGAUCAAUGAAACUUUCCCUGAUGAACAAUUGUUACAUGUCGGUCAUAAGAACUUGCCAUGGUAUGCCAGCUAUGUCAACUUCAUUGUGAGUAAGCUUCUACAUUUAAAUUUAACUUGUCAACAAAAAAAGAAAUUUUUGCAUGAUGUUAAAUAUUAUUUAUGAGAUGAACCAUUUUUGUUUAAGCAAUGUGCUGAUAGAUUUAUAAGAAUAUGUAUUCUAGAGGAAGAAGUUGAAAAUGUGUUGAGACAUUGUCUCUCAUAUGAAAAUGGGGGUCAUUUUGAAGGAGAUAGAACAACAUCUAAAGUUCUUCAAUUAGUUUUGUACUGGCCAACAUUAUUCAAAAACGCUCAUAACUUUAUGUUGUAUUGUGAUAGAUGUCAAAGAGUGGGAAACAUUUCCAAAAGACAUGAAAUGCCGCUUAACAACAUUUUGGAUAUGGAGAUUUUCGAUGUUUAGGGAAUC
Theobroma umbraticum is the source of this 4826-nucleotide long non-coding RNA. RefSeq lists it as uncharacterized. The record is from RefSeq and is a predicted model, not a curated record. NCBI's taxonomy places the organism in Eukaryota, Viridiplantae, Streptophyta, Magnoliopsida, Malvales, Malvaceae.